GAUGAACGCUAGCUACAGGCUUAACACAUGCGAGUCGAGGGGCAGCAUGGUCUUAGCUUGCUAAGGCCGAUGGCGACCGGCGCACGGGUGAGUAACACGUAUCCAACCUGCCGUCUACUCUUGGACAGCCUUCUGAAAGGAAGAUUAAUACAAGAUGGCAUCAUGAGUUCACAUGUUCACAUGAUUAAAGGUAUUCCGGUAGACGAUGGGGAUGCGUUCCAUUAGAUAGUAGGCGGGGUAACGGCCCACCUAGUCUUCGAUGGAUAGGGGUUCUGAGAGGAAGGUCCCCCACAUUGGAACUGAGACACGGUCCAAACUCCUACGGGAGGCAGCAGCGAGGAAUAUUGGUCAAUGGGCGAGAGCCUGAACCAGCCAAGUAGCGUGAAGGAUGACUGCCCUAUGGGUUGUAAACUUCUUUUAUAAAGGAAUAAAGUCGGGUAUGUAUACCCGUUUGCAUGUACUUUAUGAAUAAGGAUCGGCUAACUCCGUG
This 490-nucleotide ribosomal RNA is filed under the name uncultured bacterium. RNAcentral's name for it is "partial 16S ribosomal RNA". It matches the Rfam family "Bacterial small subunit ribosomal RNA", at positions 28 to 507 of the family's 1533-position model. The record is from RNAcentral.